UGCUGGAGGUAUCAGAAGUGCGAAUGCUGACAUAAGUAACGAUAAAGCGGGUGAAAAGCCCGCUCGCCGGAAGACCAAGGGUUCCUGUCCAACGUUAAUCGGGGCAGGGUGAGUCGACCCCUAAGGCGAGGCCGAAAGGCGUAGUCGAUGGGAAACAGGUUAAUAUUCCUGUACUUGGUGUUACUGCGAAGGGGGGACGGAGAAGGCUAUGUUAGCCGGGCGACGGUUGUCCCGGUUUAAGCAUGUAGGCUGGUUGUCCAGGCAAAUCCGGAUAAUCAAGGCUGAGGUGUGAUGACGAGGCACUACGGUGCUGAAGUAACAAAUGCCCUGCUUCCAGGAAAAGCCUCUAAGCAUCAGGUAACAUCAAAUCGUACCCCAAACCGACACAGGUGGUCAGGUAGAGAAUACCAAGGCGCUUGAGAGAACUCGGGUGAAGGAACUAGGCAAAAUGGUGCCGUAACUUCGGGAGAAGGCACGCUGGUGUGUAGGUGAAGUCCCUGCGGAUGGAGCUGAGACCAGUCGAAGAUACCAGCUGGCUGCAACUGUUUAUUAAAAACACAGCACUGUGCAAACACGAAAGUGGACGUAUACGGUGUGACGCCUGCCCGGUGCCGGAAGGUUAAUUGAUGGGGUUAUCCGUAAGGAGAAGCUCUUGAUCGAAGCCCCGGUAAACGGCGGCCGUAACUAUAACGGUCCUAAGGUAGCGAAAUUCCUUGUCGGGUAAGUUCCGACCUGCACGAAUGGCGUAAUGAUGGCCAGGCUGUCUCCACCCGAGACUCAGUGAAAUUGAACUCGCUGUGAAGAUGCAGUGUACCCGCGGCAAGACGGAAAGACCCCGUGAACCUUUACUAUAGCUUGACACUGAACAUUGAGCCUUGAUGUGUAGGAUAGGUGGGAGGCUUUGAAGCGUGGACGCCAGUCUGCGUGGAGCCAACCUUGAAAUACCACCCUUUAAUGUUUGAUGUUCUAACGUUGGCCCCUUACCGGGGUUGCGGACAGUGUCUGGUGGGUAGUUUGACUGGGGCGGUCUCCUCCCAAAGCGUAACGGAGGAGCACGAAGGUUAGCUAAUCCUGGUCGGACAUCAGGAGGUUAGUGCAAUGGCAUAAGCUAGCUUGACUGCGAGCGUGACGGCGCGAGCAGGUGCGAAAGCAGGUCAUAGUGAUCCGGUGGUUCUGAAUGGAAGGGCCAUCGCUCAACGGAUAAAAGGUACUCCGGGGAUAACAGGCUGAUACCGCCCAAGAGUUCAUAUCGACGGCGGUGUUUGGCACCUCGAUGUCGGCUCAUCACAUCCUGGGGCUGAAGUAGGUCCCAAGGGUAUGGCUGUUCGCCAUUUAAAGUGGUACGCGAGCUGGGUUUAGAACGUCGUGAGACAGUUCGGUCCCUAUCUGCCGUGGGCGCUGGAGAAUUGAGGGGGGCUGCUCCUAGUACGAGAGGACCGGAGUGGACGCAUCACUGGUGUUCGGGUUGUCAUGCCAAUGGCACUGCCCGGUAGCUAAAUGCGGAAGAGAUAAGUGCUGAAAGCAUCUAAGCACGAAACUUGCCCCGAGAUGAGUUCUCCCUGAGACUUUAAGUCUCCUGAAGGAACGUUAAAGACGAUGACGUUGAUAGGCCGGGUGUGUAAGCGCAGCGAUGCGUUGAGCUAACCGGUACUAAUGAACCGUGAGGCUUAACCUU
RNAcentral lists this ribosomal RNA (1675 nucleotides) under Klebsiella pneumoniae. Its description in RNAcentral is "partial 23S ribosomal RNA". It matches the Rfam family "Bacterial large subunit ribosomal RNA", at positions 1271 to 2925 of the family's 2925-position model. RNAcentral also lists the same sequence under 1 other name. The record is from RNAcentral. Lineage: Bacteria; Pseudomonadati; Pseudomonadota; Gammaproteobacteria; Enterobacterales; Enterobacteriaceae.